UGGUUUUUAAAGAGUUUGGGGAUUAAUUAAGUUAAAAAAGGUAGCAUGGCUUCAUAACUAAUUAGUAUGACUUUAAAAAAAAAUUUAAAUGCUAGAGCUGCCCGGCUUUUCAGACAAUUUACUUUCCAUUUUUUGCCUUGCGGAAAGUGCCAAAAGGAGUUGUAAAAUGUUGGUUUGCAAAAUAAUAAAUUGCCACUGUAGACCAGCUUUUUUAAACUGGGGUAAGUUCCUCAUAUUUAGAGGGUAAUCAGCUACUAAUCAAAAUCAACAUUAGUUAAAGAGACAGAAAACUUGUACCAGUUGUAGUGCAUUACCAAACAUUGAACAACUUAUUCCCAAAAAGUGCAUCCGUUGCAUUAAAUAUAACUGAUGUAAUUAUCCGACAAGCAACUCCGCUACAAGGGUAAAGCAUAAAAAAAGCUUCGGAACCACAGCUGUAGUUCAUCAAAAACGAGGCAUUGUUUGACAAACGAUUUAUUUUCGCUAUAUAUAGCGUACAAAAAUAAUACUGGAAAUACAAGGAGACAAUAAAAAGGGAAAGGUGCUGUUCUUGGAACCCCACGAGUGGCUGAUUAGGCUGUGGCGGUACCAAUACACAAUUUACCUU
This is a non-coding RNA of Ciona intestinalis (vase tunicate), 607 nucleotides long. Lineage: Eukaryota; Metazoa; Chordata; Ascidiacea; Phlebobranchia; Cionidae. The record is from RefSeq and is a predicted model, not a curated record.